ACACGACUACAUUAGAUACCCGGGUAGUCCUAGCCGUAAACGAUACUCGCUAGGUGUCGGCCACGGUGCGACCGUUGUCGGUGCCGUAGGGAAGCCGUGAAGCGAGCCACCUGGGAAGUACGGCCGCAAGGCUGAAACUUAAAGGAAUUGCGGGGGAGCACCACAACGGGUGGAGCCUGCGGUUUAAUCGGACUCAACGCCGGGAAUCUCACCGGAUAAGACAGCUGAAUGAUAGUCGGGAUGAAGACUCUACUUGACUAGCUG
Molecule: ribosomal RNA, 264 nt
Filed under: uncultured archaeon
Lineage: Archaea
Description: partial 16S ribosomal RNA
Rfam family: Archaeal small subunit ribosomal RNA
Source: RNAcentral